CCCCAGGUGCAGGGCCCCCACAGAGCCUCCCCCAGGUGCAGGGCCCCCACAGAGCCUCCCCCCCAGGUGCAGGGCCCCCACAGAGCCUCCCCCCAGGUGCAGGGCCCCCACAGAGCCUCCCCCAGAAAAGUAAUCCCCAUGUAGCCUUGGGCAGCUGACUAGUGGUCGGCCAAGUGGAGAAACAGAAAAGCCAGGUAUGGCUGAGCAUGGUGGUGCUACAGCUUUGACAGCCUGCGAGUGCACACACAAUAGAGCAGGGAAACAAAAGGAGGACUUGGGAGGUGGAGGGCUUGCCCAGCCAGGGCUGACCCUUGAGCUCCUGUCUUACUAUGGUGAGAGAAAGGAGCUGGAGAGACAGCGUAAAGGCUGUGCGAACAGGUCCCGGGCUGGGUCCCCAGCACCACCACAUGCCAGAGCUGAGCAGGGCUCUAGUCUAACACACGAGCCACCAGCCGUGCUGUCUUUCUCCAGAGCCUUUUCAGGGCCGUGGCCCCCUGAGGCCCAGUGGCUCCCUGUGGGGCUGCCCUCGGCAGAGGUCUGCCUGAGGCCUUGCCCUCCUUCAUUGCUCAGCAGAUGACCUUGACCCGCCCACAGGAUGCCCUGUGGCUCUGCAGAGGGUGACUCCUAUCCUUCCGACCAUGCAGCUUUUCGUUGUACGUUAAUUUUGGUUCUGAACGCUUGGCCCACAGCUGGCAGGCAGGCAGGCAGAGCAGGCAGCAGCCAGAACCACCACACAGGCUGCCCCGUGUGCCUCGUGCCCUCGGGGGGCUGCUAGCAGCCCUUGGCGUCUGUGACUUUAGCACAAGCGCCAGAAUUUAGGUGUCUUGUUUUAGAAGCGCCUCACGCUCAGCAGUGUCUGGUGAGUUCCCAGGGGACUGGCCUCAGCAAGGGGCAGGGUGCUGCUUCUCUGCUUUCAGCACUGCCAUGUGAGGGCCUGGAAAGCCACUGCCCUUGGGUGAUACACCUCUCUACU
Erinaceus europaeus (western European hedgehog) is the source of this 973-nucleotide long non-coding RNA. RefSeq lists it as uncharacterized. The record is from RefSeq and is a predicted model, not a curated record. The transcript is spliced from 3 exons. NCBI's taxonomy places the organism in Eukaryota, Metazoa, Chordata, Mammalia, Eulipotyphla, Erinaceidae.